RNAcentral lists this non-coding RNA (585 nucleotides) under Pan troglodytes (chimpanzee). Lineage: Eukaryota; Metazoa; Chordata; Mammalia; Primates; Hominidae. The record is from RNAcentral.
AGAUCAGCCCUGGGGUUCAGAGGGAUCCUGACGGCUACUCCUCAAGAUCCUCUCUGUUGUGAUUCAUCCCCCCCGGGCCCUACAGUUUCUCCUUCCUGACUCUUACAUUUCUUUGGAUGGCAUCAUUAUUUACCUGUCUCCUCCCAUAGUUAGGUGCCAAGCACUGUGGAUUCUGCCCCUCAGUGUCCAGACACCCAUUUUCCUUCCCACUGUUCCUUCCCCAUGGAGAAGCCUGUGGCUGGCUGACAGCAGAGAGAGAUGCUCAACUUGGAGAAGGUGUUACCUGGGCCAGGUGGGGAAGGUUUGUUUGCAGAGCAAAGAAGUGAAGAUCCUCAUGUGACAGGUGACCUGCCGUAUAAUCAGAAGGAAGAAAUGUUACACAGAGAGGCUGAGAAGAAUCUGAGGACUUGCUAAGUUUUCCCCAGUUUAUUACCAUUAGAUCAUAUGCCUUUUUUGUUCAAUCAUACUUCUAUACAACUGUCCAUCAUUCAUUAAACCUAACCACAAAAGUAGUUUUCACUCGGCUUUUGAGUGAAGGCUCCUGUGUCACAUAAAACUUACAUUAAAUAAAUUUGUUCCACUUUU